ACUCCUACGGGAGGCAGCAGUGGGGAAUAUUGCACAAUGGAGGAAACUCUGAUGCAGCAACGCCGCGUGGAGGAUGACGCAUUUCGGUGUGUAAACUCCUUUUAUAAGGGAAGAUAAUGACGGUACCUUAUGAAUAAGCACCGGCUAACUCCGUGCCAGCAGCCGCGGUAAUAC
Molecule: ribosomal RNA, 174 nt
Filed under: uncultured bacterium
Lineage: Bacteria
Description: partial 16S ribosomal RNA
Rfam family: Bacterial small subunit ribosomal RNA
Source: RNAcentral